RNAcentral lists this ribosomal RNA (468 nucleotides) under uncultured bacterium. RNAcentral's name for it is "partial 16S ribosomal RNA". It matches the Rfam family "Bacterial small subunit ribosomal RNA", at positions 28 to 507 of the family's 1533-position model. The record is from RNAcentral.
GACGAACGCUGGCGGCGUGCUUAACACAUGCAAGUCGAACGGAAAGGCCCUGCUUUUGUGGGGUGCUCGAGUGGCGAACGGGUGAGUAACACGUGAGUAACCUGCCCUUGACUUUGGGAUAACUUCAGGAAACUGGGGCUAAUACCGGAUAGGAGCUCCUGCUGCAUGGUGGGGGUUGGAAAGUUUCGGCGGUUGGGGAUGGACUCGCGGCUUAUCAGCUUGUUGGUGGGGUAGUGGCUUACCAAGGCUUUGACGGGUAGCCGGCCUGAGAGGGUGACCGGCCACAUUGGGACUGAGAUACGGCCCAGACUCCUACGGGAGGCAGCAGUGGGGAAUACUGCACAAUGGGCGGAAGCCUGAUGCAGCAACGCCGCGUGCGGGAUGACGGCCUUCGGGUUGUAAACCACUUUCGCCUGUGACGAAGCGUGAGUGGCGGUAAUGGGUAAAGAAGCACCGGCUAACUACGUG